RNAcentral lists this ribosomal RNA (524 nucleotides) under uncultured bacterium. RNAcentral describes it as "partial 16S ribosomal RNA". It matches the Rfam family "Bacterial small subunit ribosomal RNA", at positions 28 to 523 of the family's 1533-position model. The record is from RNAcentral.
GACGAACGCUGGCGGCGUGCUUAACACAUGCAAGUCGAACGGACAGACAGAGAGCUUGCUCUCUUGAAGUUAGUGGCGAACGGGUGAGUAACGCGUAAUCAACCUGCCCUUCAGAGGGGGAUAACAACGGGAAACCGUUGCUAAUACCGCGUACGAUUCAUGAACGGCAUCGUUUAUGAAUGAAAGGUGGCCUCUAUGUAUAAGCUAUCGCUGAAGGAGGGGAUUGCGUUUGAUUAGCUAGUUGGAGGGGUAACGGCCCACCAAGGCAAUGAUCAGAGGCAGGUGUGGAAGGGUGAACGGCCACAUUGGGAUAGGGACACGGCCGAAGAUCAUACGGGAGGCAGCAGUGGGGAAUCUUCCGUAAUGUACGAAAGUCUGACGGAGCAGCGCCGGGUGAGUGAUGAAGGUCUUCGGAUUGUAAAGCUCUGUUAAUCGGGACGAAAGAGUUCUGCGUGAAUAAUGCAGAAAAGUGGCGGUACCGGAAUAGAAAGCCACGGCUAACUACGUGCCAGCAGCCGCCGUAA